RNAcentral lists this ribosomal RNA (410 nucleotides) under uncultured Methylomirabilota bacterium. Its description in RNAcentral is "bacterial SSU rRNA". It matches the Rfam family "Bacterial small subunit ribosomal RNA", at positions 1025 to 1434 of the family's 1533-position model. Lineage: Bacteria; Methylomirabilota (SeqCode). The record is from RNAcentral.
AGCGUGGAGACAGGUGGUGCAUGGCUGUCGUCAGCUCGUGUCGUGAGAUGUUGGGUUAAGUCCCGCAACGAGCGCAACCCUCACCCCUUGUCGCCAUCAGGUCAUGCUGGGCACUCUAGAGGAACUGCCCCGGUCAACGGGGAGGAAGGCGGGGAUGACGUCAAGUCAUCAUGCCCCUUACGUCCUGGGCUACACACGUGCUACAAUGGCCGGUACAAAGGGAUGCCACACCGCGAGGUAGAGCUAAACCCAAAAAGCCGGUCUAAGUUCAGAUUGGAGUCUGCAACUCGACUCCAUGAAGGAGGAAUCGCUAGUAAUCGCGUAUCAGCACGACGCGGUGAAUACGUUCCCGGGCCUUGUACACACCGCCCGUCACACCACGAAAGCCUGCUGUACUCGAAGUCGCUGAG